ACUAAUAUUCAUUGGGAUUUUUCGUUUGGUGAAAGUUGCGUCGACGACUUCUCUUCCCUUCUCACUUUCUCUCUCCUCAUCUUAUCGUCGACGAAUUCCAAUUUGGCUGCUCUGCUUUCACAUCCGAUCUUCUCCUUCAUCUCUUUUCGGUAAGAUCUUCGGUCACCCGUGAUUUCUAAUUACAAAUCCUUGUUCGAUUAUUGAAGAAAGGUUGUGAAUUUCUAGGGUUUUCCAUUGAUUGUUUUUUUUACUUUGAAUUCUUUCGAGACUGUAUUUUUCUGGAUUAUUCUUCAUCGAUUUAUUGUGAACGCAUUGAAUUUGAAUAUUUACCGCCUGUAAUUGAAGGAUCACGUUCUUUAGGGUUGAAAAAAGUGAUCAAACAAUUUGAGAAUUAGGGUUAGGGAUUUCCCAAUCCUUUAAUUAUUUAUUUUCGUUAAUUUGAGAGGAUUUUUGUGUGUCGUUGUUGGUGUUGAUAUAAUGGCGACAGGCAAAAUCAGUGUGGUUAGGCGUGUAGAUCUCUCUAAUGUCUCGCGAAAACCCUCUGGAGCUCAUGGUGAUUCUGGAUUUGGGGCUACAAAAAUUAGGUCAAAUUCUGAAACUUAUGUGGAUUCCAAGUGUGUGGGGGGAAAGAGGGGUGUGUUUGAGAAGGAUAGCAGAAGUAGAGUUAAGGAAGCCAUGGAAGUUGAUGACGGGAUUGUGAUUUCGCCUCCUCAGAAGAAGAGGAAGUUUUCUCCUGUUAUAUGGGGUGAGCAAGACACCUUUCGCUCUACAUCGUCUCAAGGGAUUACUGUAUAUGAUGAUCAGGAGCCAGGGCAGCUUGACGAAGAGGAUUUUACUCGUGCGCCCAAUAUUUUGAAGUCCCGUUGGGCGAAUGAUGAUGAUCUGGAGGAGAGUAGUCGUGGGGAGAAAGGUGGAGUUGUUUUGAAAGGGGAGGAAUCAAAGGGGAGAAGGUCGAGUCCUGAGAGUGGUGUUACUCAAAAGGAGGGUUCUGAUUUCUCUGGAGGUAGGUCAUCUGGGUCUGAUGGAGGAUGUGUGCCGAGAUACUAUAGUGAAGGUGAAUGUUCAGAAAGUGAAUUAGAGUGUGAUGACUGUAUGGCACUUGAUUUGAGUGAUGAUGAGGACAUUGAAGUUGGAGUUUCCGGAGGAGGAAGGAGAAAUAUGCUUCAGGGUUGUAGAACUGUGUUUGAUUACGAAAAGCUUGGUAAAAUAAAUGAAGGUAGCUAUGGUAUUGUAUACAAAGCCAGAGACAGGGUGAGUGGGGAGAUGGUUGCCCUUAAGAAGAUGAAGUUGGGGAACCAAAGAGAGGGUUUUCCUGUGUAUUACUUGAGAGAAAUCAAUACCCUUAUGUCCUUGAACCACCCUUCAAUCAUAAAUGUUCGAGAAGUAGUGGUGGAUGAUAGCGCCGAAGGUUUUGAUAACAUUUAUAUGGUGAUGGACUACGUGGAGCAUGAUCUUAAGGCGUUGAUGCAGGCAAGGAAGCAACAUUUUAGGCAGAGUGAAGCAAAGUGCUUGAUGCUUCAGCUUUUGGAGGGUGUUGAAUAUCUUCAUGAUAACUGGAUUCUUCAUAGAGAUUUGAAGACGUCAAAUCUUUUGUUGAAUAAUACGGGCGAUCUGAAAAUAUGUGAUUUUGGAAUGGCACGCCAGUAUGGCAGCCCAUUGAAGCCGUAUACUUCGUUGGUGGUUACUCUUUGGUACAGGGCUCCUGAACUUCUUCUUGGAGCUAAAGAGUACUCAACAGCGGUAGAUAUGUGGUCAGUGGGUUGUAUAAUGGCUGAACUGCUAACCAAUAAACCAUUAUUUGAUGGAAAAAGCGAGGUCGAGCAGCUUGACAAGAUAUUCAGAACACUGGGCACACCUACUGACAAGAUUUGGCCGGAAUAUUCUCAAUUGCCUGGGGUUAAGGCCAACUUUGUACACCAACCGUUUAAUCAAUUGCAUAAGAAGUUCCCUCGUGCAUCUUUUACAGGCUCUCCUGUACUUUCUGACUCAGGGCUUGACUUGCUGAGCCGGCUAUUGACAUAUGACCCUGAGUUGAGGAUAACAGCGAAACAGGCCCUUAAUCAUCCCUGGUUCCAGGAAGUUCCUCUUCCCAACUCAAGGGAAUUCAUGCCUUCUUUCCCAGCAGACAAGGUAGUCUUGGCAAGAUAAUGCCUGAUGCUUGACAUUGUCUUAACACUGAUCAUAUUAUCUCUGUGGACUCCGCCUGGCAGUAACAGGCAUGUGUAGAUGGAUAUUUGUAACCGAUUGGAUAACUCUAUCGGAAGGGUUGCAGCUGUGGUUAGACAGAUUUGGAACACGCACUGAAGGGGAAGUGAUAUAUGCUUUAUUGUUUGCGGGAUCUGUUACUUCCUGUGUCCCUCUUGUGCUUUUACAGAUACCCUUCGAGCUCUUUGUCAUGGGUGCUGCGGCUGUGGUCAAAUCUGAUGCGCUAUUUUCAUUGGUGCCGAAUUGGUGGUUUUGUGUUGAAUACAGGAAGUAGCAGAAUUUUUGACUGAUUAUACUUCUUCCUAAAUUGGAUUUACUACCACUAUCCUGUGCUCUUACAGAUUUGAGCCAGAUCUGGAGUUUGGACAUAAUCCCAAUGAAAACACUGGUUAGGUAUCGCGAAGCUAAUCUGGAGCAGACUCUGUAACUGAGAACAGGAGUUGCAUGUUUAAAUUCCAAAGGGAAAAAAAUAAUUCUCGGUCACCUGCAUUAAACAUAAUUGCUGCAUAAUGGGGCACUGGAAACCAUUUACCUCAUACCUCGAGUAAUGGAGAAACUUUACGAGCUUUUCAGGUAUUUACUUGCAGAUGUGGCAGUGCAAUGUUUGAAGUUGCUGUAUUGUGCUGGUGUUUUGUUUUUGUGUUUGGUUUUCAUGUUCGCCUGCAUCCUCUUUCCAGUGUAAAUGUUAUGUUGUAUGUCUACACUUGAGCAGCAUAAAAUCUUUCCCACAAGAUCUGUUACCAUCUAUAAUAGUUGGCUAUCAACAAUUUGUUGUUGACCAUAGCAUCCUAGAUUAUUAACAUUGCAUAUGAUUCUAUUCUUAUUACUUUUUGACCUGUUAUGCUGCAAUGUAAUAAUUUAAACAAUAUGCGGCCAAUGGUGUUGUUUUGAGUAGUUCUUCUCAUACUAUUUGCCCAUCAGUUGAUAAUCGUGUUAUUUGGUUUGUUAUAAGAUUCUGUAAAUUAUGUAACGACAGGAUGAGAUGUUUGCCAUGGGAUUCUGUUUCUCCCUGUGGUAUUUCUCCUCCAUGUUUUGGCUUGAAAAAAGUUGAUAUUGAAUUGGUGAUUCUUCACUCUUCACUCUAGGUUUGUAGUCGAUUCUGGAUCUUGUCCGCUGUUCAGAACAUUUUGUGGAGUUAGGCUGGUAUGUUUAUUUUGUUUAUUAGUUAGUAGUACAGCAUGUCUUGUAUUCUGAGCUGGCUGUUGCAUUUAUGUGAUGGAUCAUGUCUUGGAUGUGGGAGCUUCAUGAGACACGGAGAAAUUGAUCAGCUGGAGCUUUCUACUUCGUGUAUGGUAAAUUGAGAGGGAGUACUGUUUCUACAUUUAGUGGUACUUUUUUCUUAUUCAAUGGUACUUCCUAUUUUUUACUCUUUGAUCUGUUGUUUGGUGGAGGAUCGUUUUUCUGCAAUUGCAGCUGGCUUACAUUCUGCAGUUUGAUCGUGCAAGACAUGAUUUGAUGCGCACAUUACAAAGUGCAGAAACUAGUAAGACAAAGUUAUCGUUUUUCAAUUGAAGUCAGGUGUUGUAUUAUUAAUAUUGAUAGGCAGUCCCAAAUUUUUAGUUGGGACUGCCUUUCAAUUGAAGUCGGGUGUUUUCUUAAUAUUGAUGUCAAAUUUUCCCUUGUCUUGAUGUAGUAGGUUUUUUACAACAAAUUGAAAAUGUGGAGAUGAUUUUGUUGUAGUUUGCAGUACCGCAGAAGAAAUUAUAGUUUAUAGGGAGUACAAACCAAUUAACUUGCAGUUGCGUUUUUUAUCCUUCCAAAAUUUUCAUCGACAAUUUGAUGAGUGAAGUUUAUCAUGUAACGGCGCAUAUUGAAGCUAUGAAGUACAAAAUAUUCAAAUAACAAUGUGUAAUCCUCGUCUAAAUAGUUGGUUCUUCUCUUAAUCUGGCUAGUUGAUACCACAAGAGAUCCAAAGGAUGAUAUCCAGACUCUUGUUAGACGGGUAUAUUUGUUCAAAUGUAAGAACGGAUUUAACGAUUUGUCCAUCCUGAUAUGAUUUUAUUCUUAAUGAUCAGUGUUUUCUUUCUUCCAAA
Molecule: RNA transcript, 4238 nt
Organism: Spinacia oleracea (spinach)
Lineage: Eukaryota; Viridiplantae; Streptophyta; Magnoliopsida; Caryophyllales; Amaranthaceae
Gene name: cyclin-dependent kinase G-2
Exons: 6
Source: RefSeq, a predicted model, not a curated record